This 426-nucleotide ribosomal RNA is filed under the name Copepoda environmental sample. RNAcentral's name for it is "SSU rRNA". It matches the Rfam family "Eukaryotic small subunit ribosomal RNA", at positions 174 to 602 of the family's 1831-position model. The record is from RNAcentral. Lineage: Eukaryota; Metazoa; Arthropoda; Copepoda.
AGCCCCGAACUUACGUGAGGGGCGCUUUUAUUAGAUCAAAACCAAACGGCUUCGGUCGUCCCCCUGGUGAUUCUGAAUAACUUUGGGCUGAUCGCACGGCUUCACGCCGGCGACGUAUCCUUCUAAGGUGUGCCCUAUCAACUGUCGACUGUGGCAUAGACGCCCACAGUGGUUCUGACGGGUAACGGGGAAUCAGGGUUCGAUUCCGGAGAGGGAGCCUGAGAGACGGCUACCACUUCUAAGGAAGGCAGCAGGCCCGCAAAUUACCCACUGGUCGAAGACCGAGGUAGUGACGAAAAAUAACGAUAUCGGACUCAUCCGAGGCCCGAUAAUCGGAAUGAGUACACUUUAAAUCCUUUAACGAGGAACAAUUGGAGGGCAAGUCUGGUGCCAGCAGCCGCGGUAAUUCCAGCUCCAAUAGCGUAU